CCUACGGGUGGCAGCAGUGGGGAAUAUUGCUCAAUGGGGGAAACCCUGAUGCAGCGACGCCGCGUGAGGGAUGAAGUAUUUCGGUAUGUAAAGCUCUAUUUGUAGGGAAGAAAAUGACGGUACCUGAGGAAGAAGCACCGGCUAACUACGUGCCAGCAGCCGCGGUAAUACGGAGGGGGCAAGCGUUAUCCGGAUUUACUGGGCGUAAAGGGCGCGUAGGCGGCAAUGCAAGUCAGGAGUGAAAGGCGGGGGCUUAACCCCCGGACUGCUGUGGAAACUGUACGGCUGGAGUGAGGGAGAGGUAGGUGGAAUUCUUGGUGUAGCGGUGAAAUGCGUAGAGAUUAGGAGGAACACCGAUGGCGAAGGCGGCUUACUGGACUGUAACUGACGUUGAGGCGCGAAAGCGUGGGGAGCAAACAGGAUUAGAUACCCGAGUAGUC
Molecule: ribosomal RNA, 440 nt
Filed under: uncultured bacterium
Lineage: Bacteria
Description: partial 16S ribosomal RNA
Rfam family: Bacterial small subunit ribosomal RNA
Source: RNAcentral